GGAAGUAAUCGUAACAAGGUUUCCGUAGGUGAACCUGCGGAAGGAUCAUUAUUGGAUUUUGAAACUUCAGGCUGCUGCUGGCUCUCCUCGGAGGGCAUGUGCACGCUUGUUGUCCAUUAUUUCUCCCACUGUGCACAAAUUGUAGACCUUUCAGUAGGCCUAUGUUGUUUUUCACAAUCUCUGAAUGUAAUAGAAUGGUUUUGAAUCUUGGGAAAUACAAUACAACUUUCAGCAACGGAUCUCUUGGCUCUC
Molecule: unclassified non-coding RNA, 252 nt
Filed under: plant metagenome
Description: partial contains small subunit ribosomal RNA, internal transcribed spacer 1, and 5.8S ribosomal RNA
Rfam family: Eukaryotic small subunit ribosomal RNA (bases 1-51)
Source: RNAcentral